This 454-nucleotide ribosomal RNA is filed under the name uncultured bacterium. RNAcentral's name for it is "bacterial SSU rRNA". It matches the Rfam family "Bacterial small subunit ribosomal RNA", at positions 28 to 524 of the family's 1533-position model. The record is from RNAcentral.
GAUAAACGCUGGCGGCGUGCCUAACACAUGCAAGUCGAACGAUCCCGCAAGGGAGAGUGGCGGAAGGGUGAGUAACACGUGGGAAUCUACCUCCUCGCAGGGAACAACCUCUCGAAAGAGAGGCUAAUACCCAAAAGGGUCAGAAAUGAUCAGAGUCGAAAGGCGUGAGGAGAGGAGCCCGCGGCCCAUCAGCUAGUUGGUGAGGUAAUGGCUUACCAAGGCUACGACGGGUAGGGGAUCUGAGAGGAUGUCCCCCAUACUGGAACUGAAACACGGUCCAGACGCCUACGGGUGGCAGCAGUGAGGAAUAUUGGACAAUGGGCGAAAGCCCGAUCCAGCAACGCCGCGUGGAGGAUGAAGGCCUUCGGGUCGUAAACUUCUUUAGAGGGAGACGAGAAAGGACGGUAUCCCUAGAAUAAGCGACGGCAAACUACGUGCCAGCAGCCGCGGUAAU